This is a non-coding RNA of Lepisosteus oculatus (spotted gar), 1604 nucleotides long. The record is from RefSeq and is a predicted model, not a curated record. Lineage: Eukaryota; Metazoa; Chordata; Actinopteri; Semionotiformes; Lepisosteidae.
UGCUCUCAGGGAGAUCCUGGAGAAACUGCUCUCUGUCUCACUGCUGUUUCUCUCCUCUUCCUUUGACAGACACUCUGAACAGAGAGAAGACUGCUGCAUCUGGAAAGAAGGGUAAGGGGUCCAAUGAAGAUCAAGAAAAAGACUCAUCCUCUUCACCUGCUAACCGUACAAGACUUGUUUCAAAAUUCACCGUCACCAUGCCUACUGGUAGAUCUGGAAAAACAUCUCCUUGGUACAGCCCCAGAGUGUACAGACCAUAGAAAGGCACUGUGUUUGACUAAAUGGUGUAAACUUUCAGAAUAAUUUCAUGCAGGAGCGUCCUGUUUCUUAAAGAACAAAGUCGUUCAAUGCCAAUCACUGACCACUUUAUUAGGAUCACAGAAUAUUCGUCUCAAGUAAGUCGGGAUCGCUUGACGCACAGGGCAAGAUGGCUGUCUUUCACUUUUACACUAAUACAUCGAAUUCACCCUCCUGGAAAGUACGCAGCUUGGACUGUCCUGACAAGCCUGCUAGCAGCCCCGAUGUCCUUGUGCGGAAAGAUAAUGGAUGUUGUAGUGAUGUGAUAUUUCAGCUGCACAUUAAACGGAUUGACUUGCUCCUACAAAUGCAACAACAGUUCUGAUUAUAUUAGAUGUUUCAUCUCUGACGCUUUCACUGAGCUGCAUGGCAACGAUCGACAAUGAUCCACAUAUUUGCUGACCAUUUAAAGUAAAGGCUACAUGUGCUGUAAACUCUUAAAAAACUUUUCAUAUGCAUUGGAAUUGUUUCUUAUGUUUAUGGUUACUUUCGUUGGUAAAUGUAAAACAAUACAGGAUUAAAGGUAACAUCUAGGAUGGGGUGGCAAGUCCAUAUUUAGGGGUGUCCACCCCUCCUCCGGCUACACCCCUGUGACAGGGGUACGCUGUACCCCAGCUGAGGGGUGGCGAGACCAGACCUUGAGAAAUACAGUCAGACAAACACAUUGUGAUCAAGGGGUGUCCUAGAGCAGUGGAAAUCUCUACGGCGUUAUUAGUGGCUCUGUGACAUGGUUCCUGUUGACCCAACACUGCACACUGUUCCAGCGACAGAAACGUUUCUAAAGGAAAAAACCUCAGUCAAGGACUGACUCAGCAUCUACAGUAUGUGCACAGUCUGGGUGGUGUUGGACUGCUGUGUCUUGUGAGAUUGUGCAGCCUGUUUUAUCACCUGGGUCACUAGGAGAGUGAUAAAGGGACUUGUUCUAAUCUUUAAUAAAACCGCCAUGUUUUAACAAAUUCAGAAUAGCACUUCUUUACGUGUGACGUAUGUACACUGCAACACAAGUCCUGAUUAAAAGUAAAAUAUCGGUGCUUCUAUCACAGUGCAAGAUAAAAUAAAAGAUUCUGCCUGGAGCGCUUUGGAAGUGUUUUUAAACUGUUUUGUCUGUGUAUUUUAACACCUCUUAACGUGUAAAAAUGUAUUUACAUGCCUGAGAAGUACAGACUACAAUCCUGUUGUUUUUGUAAGUUAUAAAUUGUUAUUCUUCUUAAGAAUGCACAGAAUGCACACUGUUCUUUUUAAAAUCUGCACGUGUUCACAUACAAUCAGAUCAGAUUAGCUACUAGCAGUUGAACCAUAUACAGUUU